Molecule: long non-coding RNA, 689 nt
Filed under: Homo sapiens (human)
Lineage: Eukaryota; Metazoa; Chordata; Mammalia; Primates; Hominidae
Description: novel transcript
Source: RNAcentral
GCAGCCAUGGUGCCCGAGGUGCCCGGCGCGGUCCUGACCCUCUGCCUCUGGCUGGAGGCCUCGGAGGGCUGCCUGGCGGCCGGCCCCGGAGCAGCUGCUGCUCAGCUGCUGGACGAGUCGCUGUCUGCCGGGAGCGUCCUGCGCGCCCGCUGCGCCUCCAGGUGCCUAAGCUUGCCAAUCAUACGCAUCUCUGCCUUCUUCCAGCACUUCCAGGUGCCCACCUGUUCCAAGUUUCCACCGUCUCGCCUCAGGGAAAUUCUGGGGGGACCAAAAGGAGAGGGUCACCCCACACCUCCAACUCCUGCAAAUGAGCCCAUCCAGAAAGCUGUCUCUGGAGCACAUGCCUGUUUCCAUCUUCUCUUGCACAGUUUCAGGCCAUGUUUAAGGAUGGGAGAAGAUUGCCUGGCCUCCAGCCUGGAUGCCAGCCAGAACAGUGGUUCCCUGCUUUGGUGCCAGAAUCACAAGUGAUGUUCUAAGGUGAAGAAUUAUGAACUGAGUUGAUUUCAUUAUAUAUGAUGCAAACUAAGUCUUUGUGAUUUCCAAGUUACCAAGCAGGAAACAAAUAUUUCUACUUGGAAAUCUCAGCCCUGAGGCAGUGGCCAGUGAUUUUGGAGAACUAUGAAUGCUUUACCAGUUGUGAGUUCCUCAAAUACACCCUGUUGGUGAAGCAGGGGGACUGUCCAGCUCCU